AAAUUAAAAAAUUUGGCGGUAUUUUAGUCUUUUCAGAGGAACCUGUUUUAUAAUUGAUAGUCCACGAUAAUAGUUACUUAUUAUUUAAAUUUGUAUACCGCCGUAGUUUAAAUAUUUUAUAAAAUAAUAUUUUCAGGUCAAGGUGCAGUUUAUGUUUAAGUAAAAAUGGGUUACAUUAAAAAUUAAAAAUAAAUUGGAUUUGAAAGUAAGCUCUAAAAUAUGUACAUAUUGCCCGUCGCUUUCAUUUUUAAGUGAAAUAAGUCGUAACAAAGUAGAUUUAUUGGAAAAUGAAUCUAGAAUUCAAAUUAGAGCUUGGUAAGUAUUUUAUUUACAUUAAAAAGUUAAUUGUGAAAUUCAAUUUAAUUUGAAAGUAAAAUUUUAUUUUAUUUAAAAAUUUAAUUGAUUUAAAAAAAGUAAUUUUAUUUUUAGUAUUUAUUAGAAAAAUUUUUAUUAUAGUUUAGAGUAUAGUAAUAGAAAAUUUUAAUUUAAAAAAAAGAAAACUUGUUUUGUUGUACCUUGUGUAUCAGGGUUUAUUAAUUUAUUUUUCUCGAAUUUUAAAGAUUUAAUUUUAUUGUCUUAUAAAUAUUUAUAAUAUUUAAUUAGAAAUGAAAUGUUAGUCGUUUUAUAAUAUAUCUAGUUUUUUAAGAAUAAUUUAAUUUUUAAAUUAAUAAUUAAUUUUAUAAGGGAUUAGCUUUAUGACGUAUUUUUAAAAAUUUAUAUGUAUGUAAAAAAUAUAGGAUUAGAAGUUUUUAUUUUUAAAAGUGAUUUAUAUUUAGUUUUAAAUUUUUAUUAAAAUUUAAAUUUUAAUUUUGAUAAUUUAGUAAUAAUGGUAUAAUUAGUAAAUUUUAAAUAAAGAACUCGGCAAAUUUGUUUUUCACCUGUUUAUUAAAAACAUGGUUUUUUGAAUAUAAUUUAAGAUCUGGCCUGCUCAAUGAUUAAAUAGCUGCAGUAUAUUGACUGUACAAAGGUAGCAUAAUCAUUAGUUUUUUAAUUGAAAGCUGGAAUGAAGGGUUUGAUGAAAAAACAGCUGUUUCAAGAAUUUUAUUUUUAAGUUAAAAAGCUUAAAUUUUAUAAAAAGACGAGAAGACCCCAUAGAGUUUUUUUAAAAUGAUAAUUAAAUUAAA
RNAcentral lists this ribosomal RNA (1124 nucleotides) under Scraptia sp. 2 NLG-2012. Its description in RNAcentral is "partial 16S ribosomal RNA". The record is from RNAcentral. Lineage: Eukaryota; Metazoa; Arthropoda; Insecta; Coleoptera; Scraptiidae.